This is a long non-coding RNA of Eriocheir sinensis (Chinese mitten crab), 849 nucleotides long. RefSeq lists it as uncharacterized. The record is from RefSeq and is a predicted model, not a curated record. NCBI's taxonomy places the organism in Eukaryota, Metazoa, Arthropoda, Malacostraca, Decapoda, Varunidae. The transcript has 3 exons.
CCCAAGUUGAGGAGGCCCUGCUCGACCUUCUUUCUCCCACAGGGUAUGCAAGUCUGCCCAUUCCUGACAGCGAGGGUGGUUCUUUGAAUGUAGCUGGUGCUACACAGUGCCUUCCCUCUCAGGCUCUGGGUCCUGCUCAAGAAGGUACCCAUCCCUCCACAAGUGGUACACCGCAGGGAGAGUUUACUGUCAUGGUGAUUGAAGGCGAGGAGCGGAGAAUCCCAAUAAUAUCUGAUAGCAGCCUUGAGUCAAGGUUUCAUGGAGGAGAUUAAGGUGGCACCUCAGCUUCUUAAUGUAAAUGAAGUACGGGACCUUAUUUCCGACCUUGUGGGGACUCAAAGAGAGGCUGUGUCUUUACAGCGGGAGAAUGUGGCACUGCAGCGGGAGUGUGUUGCAAUGCAGCGGGAGACUGUGGCUGCCUUGCAGAAAUUAGCUGAAACACCAGCAGGCAUCCUAAAACUUGUCCAGGCUAUGGGAGGCCGAAUUAAAUAGGAAGCCAUAGGUUUUCCCCUCAUUUAAGCAAUUAAGGUUUAAAUCAUAUAGGAUUAAGCAUUUUUUAUUUCCUGGAUUUUUUUUUUCUCUCCUUUAAUCACUAAGUUAUGACGUAAAUCUUAGAGGAUCAAGUUAUUUUGUCUUUCUUAAGGUUGUUAGUUUUUUCUCAUUGUUUUUUUUGAGUUUAGGUGUAAAUAUUGAUUUUUUUUUGUCUUUUUCAGGAUUAAGUUUUGAUGUAAAUUUUUUUUUUUUUUCUGUCUUUGGAUUCUAGUCACGUUCCAUUUGCUCCCGAUACCAGAAUCUCAAGUUGAGCUGUGCUACAUUUUUAGUUCCUUAUGUUUCUAGUCCCCUUUUCCA